AUCUCUUUAAAGAAACGAAGCUCGAACUCCGACGAUGUCACCAGAGGUCGCUGUUUUUCAAGCGUAUCGACAUGUCUUUAUAUACUACCACACCGAUAUCUCACGCAACCUAC
Trachymyrmex cornetzi is the source of this 113-nucleotide long non-coding RNA. RefSeq lists it as uncharacterized. The transcript has 3 exons. Lineage: Eukaryota; Metazoa; Arthropoda; Insecta; Hymenoptera; Formicidae. The record is from RefSeq and is a predicted model, not a curated record.